Molecule: ribosomal RNA, 323 nt
Filed under: uncultured eukaryote
Lineage: Eukaryota
Description: partial 18S ribosomal RNA
Rfam family: Eukaryotic small subunit ribosomal RNA
Source: RNAcentral
CCCUUAGAUGUUCUGGGCUGCACGCGCGCUACACUGACACACUCAACGAGUUCCUAGCUUGAAAGGGUUGGGUAAUCAUUUGAGCGUGUGUCGUGAUGGGGAUAGAAUAUUGUAAUUAUUGCUCUUUAACGAGGAAUUCCUAGUAGGCGUACGUUAUCAGCGUGCGUCGAUUACGUCCCUGCCCUUUGUACACACCGCCCGUCGCUCCUACCGAUUGGGUGAUCCGGUGAAGCCUCGGGAUUGUGGUUCUUGCCGCUUUAUUGUGGCGUGACCGCGAGAACUUGUCUAAACCUUAUCAUCUAGAGGAAGGUGAAGUCGUAACA